RNAcentral lists this ribosomal RNA (460 nucleotides) under uncultured bacterium. RNAcentral describes it as "partial 16S ribosomal RNA". It matches the Rfam family "Bacterial small subunit ribosomal RNA", at positions 338 to 795 of the family's 1533-position model. The record is from RNAcentral.
CCUACGGGUGGCAGCAGUGAGGAAUAUUGGUCAAUGGGCGCGAGCCUGAACCAGCCAAGUCGCGUGAGGGAAGACGGUCCUAUGGAUUGUAAACCUCUUUUGUCGGGGAGCAAAAGACGCCACGCGUGGUGUUCCGAGAGUACCCGAAGAAAAAGCAUCGGCUAACUCCGUGCCAGCAGCCGCGGUAAUACGGAGGAUGCGAGCGUUAUCCGGAUUUAUUGGGUUUAAAGGGAGCGUAGGUGGAUUGUUAAGUCAGUUGUGAAAGUUUGCGGCUCAACCGUAAAAUUGCAGUUGAAACUGGCAGUCUUGAGUACAGUAGAGGUGGGCGGAAUGCGUGGUGUAGCGGUGAAAUGCUUAGAUAUCACGAAGAACUCCGAUUGCGAAGGCAGCUCACUGGACUGCAACUGACACUGAGGCUCGAAAGUGUGGGUAUCAAACAGGAUUAGAUACCCCAGUAGUC